This 102-nucleotide transfer RNA is filed under the name Thermoplasmatales archaeon I-plasma. It matches the Rfam family "tRNA". From Rfam's summary of the family: Transfer RNA (tRNA) molecules are approximately 80 nucleotides in length. Their secondary structure includes four short double-helical elements and three loops (D, anti-codon, and T loops). The record is from Rfam by way of RNAcentral. Lineage: Archaea; Methanobacteriati; Thermoplasmatota; Thermoplasmata; Thermoplasmatales.
CCCGGCUUAGCUCAGUUGGUAGAGCGGUGGACUGUAGAGGGACAGCGCUGUGGCGCAACCGCCGCCAUCCACAGGUCGCUGGUUCAAAUCCGGCAGCCGGGA